Long non-coding RNA from Tympanuchus pallidicinctus (lesser prairie-chicken), 7314 nucleotides. RefSeq lists it as uncharacterized. NCBI's taxonomy places the organism in Eukaryota, Metazoa, Chordata, Aves, Galliformes, Phasianidae. The record is from RefSeq and is a predicted model, not a curated record. The transcript is spliced from 2 exons.
GAUUUCUUGCCUAGCCUGCUGCGACGCGGAGAACUGAGAUAACCAAGAUCAAAUUUGCAAGUAUGACCUACGAGCAAUGCAGAGCAACCCUUGCUGUGCCCCAUGUUCUACCAGCUCCUUUAGUGCACUUUGCAUGCAGCGAAACUGCCUUGAGAAUGUUGGUAGAGAUUAAGCACCACCUCUUCCAGAGCAAUCUGGUUGGUUUGUAUAUCUGUAGUAGCACAAUCCUUCUGAGACUGCCCAUUUCCCUGCUUCUGCAUCUCCGAAAUAACAGGCUCUGACAUUUCCUCUUUGAGCACGCUCAACCAGAGGCUGCCUGCUGUCUUUGGAAGAGAAUGGUGAUGCCUACAGCUCCAUCAGUUCAUUUACCAGAAAUGCUGCAUCUCAAAGUGAGCCGGUGCCCCUCUCUGCUUGUUGGCUCUGCGUUGGGAAACUGAGUUUCACCCACAGGUUUGUGAAUUCUCUGCCUGGUGAACAAACUGAACAAACAGGUCAAUCUGCCAUCCUCCACCCGCUUCUGUGCACACUGAUAAAUCAAAGCAGAGGAAGGACGUGCUGCUCUGCAUUUCGGUGUUGAGCAGAGCUGUCUUUCAGAUGAGGGGCAGUUGGGCACAUCACCUGGAAAGCUGCAGCUGUGGUGCAAAUGUCAUUUGAUGUGUUCAUAGCAUCACUGCUGUCACUGUAUGUCUGCCGUGUGGUUGCUGGUAAGUCAGCGAGCUCGGUAGCAGAGGAUGCUGUGGGCAGUGCCUGCUUGUGGAGGAACAGCAAACAGUGUCACUGCUGCUGGCAGCUCUGCUCUUUGUGCCUCUCCCACUCUGGGAUGUUUGCUGCAGGGCUGUGCUGCUGCACCCGAUGGGCACUGCAAAGCUGCUCAGCUCUCCUCCCUUCUGGCAGUGCUGUGCCACCGGUUUUAAUUACUAUCUCACCUGGGACUCUGAAAUCCCUCACUACCUCGCUUACCUGUUUGAUGAAAACAAACCCUCUUUUGUUGGUGAAAAUGAUUAUGUUACCUUGAGAAAGCAAUUAAAAGCCCGAGCUCCCCAGAUGUGUUUCUAAAGGACUCUUUGCAAAUCUUUGGGAGAGAAGAGAAAUAAUUCUCCUAAAUCAGGAGGCUGAUCAAUAACACACGUUGCUCUGCAGAAGGCUGUGUUUAUUUUGCCUGCCAGCAAUGAAACUCAAUAGACCCCCACCAGUUGAAGAAGAAGAAAUGAGACCUCUGUGGUUUUGCACUGUGGGUUUCCUGUGUCUGUGUUUUUGGUUUUGCUCGUUUGUUUUUGUCAUGUGAAAUCUAUUGGUAAAUAAUGGGCAAUGAUCAGCACUUUAUUUUCAUUUGGCAUUUAAUCAAAGGGACAGGCUACAUCUUUACAAUAGCUGGGCUAAUUGCUCAACCAAACAGGGCAAACCAUUGUUCAUCCUCGCUGCUGAUGGAAUAAAUAUGAAUAUGGUCGUGUUUGAUCAUAGAGAUUGCAAAGAAAAUGGGGCAAAGAGCCCAAUCCUCAGGUAAGGGGGCACAGAAGCAAAAUUCAGAUGGUGGAGGAAAAUGACUGCAUUGCUGAGGAGGACAGGAGUGCAGCCUUACAGCGUGACCUUUGGUGCUGUCACCUCUUCCCUGACUGCUGCUGUACUUCUGCCUUCAGCUGUGCAGAGGGAAAGGUUGGGUUGUGAUGCAGCAUGGAAUUGUUUACUCUCUGGGGUCAGUAGAAGUGCUAAAGAAGCUCUACAUGAUUAAUUUGUGCUCUUGCAUCAAUGCCUUUCAUGUGUGCAGGAGAACGGGCUGUUUGCAGAUGAAUAAGCAUCUCCUUGGGUUCCAUAGCUAUGGGGCUCUUUCAUUAUCAUGGUCUGGGUGAUAAUGUGAGGCAGUGUUUCUGAAAAAGCAAACUGCCUCUUGACAGGGGGAACGUGGUACAGGAAUACAGCACACCAUGCAGGCAGGUGGGGAAUUCUCUGAGCUCCUUCCCCCCCAGACUCCCACAGCCCUCCUCCUCCUCCCACUCUGUGCUCAGGGUGCUGCAGAGGUGAUGCUGCCAAGAGAAAGGAGAAGUUCCUAACGUGUGUGCUCAGGUAAUCACAAUGAACUAAUGGCAGCAAAUUAAUCAUAGCACAAACAUAAUUUCUUUUCCUGGGCAGGUGUGCAGACAGCUCUGCUCCUGCUGCAGUGUGCUGGGCUGAGCAGCCAGGAUGGCCCUCCCUAGAUGUGUUGCCUGCCUGCAUGGCCGCAGGCUUUGGUCCCUAAAUCCUUCUAAUCUCUUCCUUUUCUGAAGUUCACUAGGCCUUCAAAGCAAGACAUAAAAAGACAAAUCUCCUGGUGGGAAGUCAGCGAUCCCUGCAGAACUGCCUCCAGACCACGCACUUUGCUCUGAUGUUGAGAUGGGUACAGCAUCCCAAGCUUAAAGGCUGUGCAGUUACAUCUGGGACCUUUGGCAAUGGAAGCAGUGAAACCCUUGCAUCCCUCAAGCUGUUAGCUCGGGUGAUUGUUUGCAUAAUCAUGCAGAGCGAUCUCUGUUCCUUCACGAAGCCGUAAGACUGAAACAUAACUGGCACCAUGGAAGGAAGGCAUUGCUACUGCAGGAAGGCAUCAGCCCGGGCUCCAGCACAGCAGAUGGAACCCCCAGAUCUGCAGGAGCUGAGGUGGGGACCCCCAUCAUGCUGUGCUUUAGAAGCUGUCAUUGUCCCUCUCUGAGCCUCACGUUUGAUGCCAUGAAGUGGCUGGAGAUGACUGUAAGUCAGUUUCGUCUUUGCUCGCUGUUGACAGGAGGGGUUUGCAUGCAGUCACAUUGCCCAAAUGCCCAAAUCCUCUCUGCUGAAAUGUGCAGGGGGGGAGGUGAGACAUUUCCCACCUGUUCAGCUAUUUUGCAGCAUGGUGGGAUGUUUCCUAUUUUGAACUGCAGCUGCAGCUUUAGGGAUGAACUUGUAGAGUCAAAUGUAAGGUAAAUGCCAGGGGAAGGCGUUUUUAAGAUGCAGAUCUCUGUUUUAUUACAUAGAGAAGAUUUUCUUCAACAUAAUGAUACUUCUUGGAGUGCACGAUAGAAAACUGCAGCCAUGGACAAGUAGUGCUCUCAGCUCUCCCUCUGAUCAUUAGCCCUGUGUGAUCAUUAACCUUCACAGGGUAAACUGCCUGCUUGCAGUUCGUUGUUGAUAGUUAGCAGAUCUUGCCCUGGAUGAAGAUCUGGAGAUGGGUUCUAUGGAAUUCUGCAAACAUGAAUGUGAUCCUGAGAAGAGAGGAUGAGGAGAAUGUCUGUUGCUGCUGCCAAUGGGGAGCAGGGAGGUCAGUCCAGGGGAUGGCUGGGGACCUAUCAGCAGCACCACAUCAUUGCUGGGAGGGCGAAGGGCACGUGGAACACUUCAUCUGCCAAGAAAUGAGAUACAUAUUUAUUUGGGAAUCUGAUACACAAAGAGCUUUAAUAACUACACUCAUCCAAAGGCAGCAUCAAUAGAAAUGGCACAGCCUGCUGAAUGCCAGUGAGCGAGGAAUGCUGUUAUUAACAUUUAGCAGAAGCUCCAGGUCACCUUGAUAACAUCAAGCUAACACACAUUUUAAUGGCUAUUUAAUUAGAUUUACCAUAGGGAAGAUGCCAUGCAAGAAGGUUGCAUUCCAGACUCCUGCGCUCGAGAUGGGGACUGGAUUAAAUAAAAAUGCAGAUAGAAGUCUGCAAGUGACAUAGAGGGUGAAUUCAUUUUCCCUGUUGGAUGCAGCUCCCGUUCUGGUCUGGAUGGCUGUGUUGUUUUACCUCUGCUCCAGGCAGCUGCUUGCACAGCUGUGGCACAGCACUGCCUUCGGACUGCAGCAAAGCUAUUCCUCAGUGGGUGAUUUGCUUUCAGGUGCCCGGAUUGCUCAGCAUCUUGCUGCAAAGCUCCCCCUGAAUCACCUGCAGGGUGCUGUGAGCAGGGCUGGAACAGGAGGGAGGGAAUCCAUCUGCUUUCCAGCAGCAAUUUGCUCACGUUAUGGCGAACUGGUUCCUGCAUUAAAGAACAAAUCGCUCAUGUCCACCUUCCAUCACCUCUGAUACCUUCGUAGAGACUCCAAGGAGCGUUUUGUAAAGCUGCCAGUUGUUCUUCAUAGAAAAUAAAACGUGGGAACAUACUGCUGUAAAGGGUAUGACACUUCUCUCCGUGGAUUUAUUAAAAAGGCUCCCAGUGUAAAGACGGAUACAAUUUGAUCAAGUCAGCAGUUCCAGCUGUGUAAUUGAUAUCCAUUAUUCUCUAUUGACUGCUGGGCAGGACUUCAUUUUCUGUAGCAUCAACAAAUUCCCCUUCUGCCCACCACAGAGCUGGGUUUGGGAGCAAGCAGAGCUGAUCAGCGAACAGAGCAGAAAUCCCAGGAGAGCAAAAAGGCAUUUUGCUCAAUUGUUUCUCAUAAGCGCCCGCCUUUAUCCAAAUCUGCACUAUUUCUUAAAUCACUGCAUUUCCAUAGGGCUCUCCUGCAGUUGUGCUGUGCUUUUGCUGGGGAACAGAGAGAGGGUGACAGUUUCUAUUCCUGCAUGAUACGAUUUCUUCUCUCCUGCCCCUUCCUCCUGCAAAUCAUUUGCUUUUCCAGGUGCUUUGGUAUAAACUUAUAUCACUUUAUUUCUGGUUUUUUUUUGCUUCCUAUCUCACUCUAAGAAGGAGAAAGAUCACCUCAUUCCCACCGCUUCAGAAAUAAAUCCUUAUUAUGGAUUUGUACCUGGGAUAGAAAAACGGAUUUCCACUCCCAGCCAGUUCUGAGCAGAUAUUUGAAGGUAAUUGCUCAGUCCAGGGACAUUUCAGUUGCCUAAUAGCCAUAAAAAGUGCUGUUAUUAGCUGUGCAUUUGAGGGUGGGGCUAUUUAGGAGAUAUUUAUUGAGAGGGUAUUACUGCAGGAAGCUUGAGGGCCUGAGAUUUAUGGUUGUAUUUCGAGGUGGAGCAAAGGGGAAGAACGAAACAUCCUCUGCGUGUCCUUGGAGCCCACGGCACCGAGGCUGUGGGGCACAUGGAGGCAUGCCCUGCGCCUUUGGUUUGUGUUGUGCCUUGCACUGCUCAGCUGCCAGCUCUGGAAGCAGCAAGCAGCCCUCGCCGAGCAUCCAGCUGCUGCUAAAACUUUGAUGAAAAUACUUUUCAUUAUGCAUGGUGAGUGACAUCUCAGUUACACGGCUCAUCUCGUGGGCGCAGUGCGGCUGUUCAGCGCUCGGCACUUUGGGGGAAGAGGUUCUCUCCUCACCGAGCCUCCUUCCCACCCACCGAACCCAGCAGAGAAAGAAGACAAGAGGUUUCCCUUUACACACGUCACGACAAACCCAAAGCCAAGGUGCUGGAGCUGCCUAAAAGCCUUCCUGUGUUGGCAGCUGUGGGCUGAGAGGUGCAGCACAUGCCUGCAUGGUAAUUAACAGCUUUGUCUCGCACAGAUUGAUUGCAGAGGCGCAAUCUUUGCGCGCGGAGCCUUGUUGAGCAUUUCCUGCUGCUGCCUGAUCCUGCUCCUCGGAUGGGCCUGGAGCAGAAGGGUAAUUAAAGAAUUGCUGCAGCUGCUGGUUUGCUGCUCACCGCAGGUUGGGCUGCAGGCAAAGCAAGCGGCCCAGGGCUGAACACACUGAGAAGGAGAUGAGAGAGGAAAAAACACAGCGGUGUUCCGAGAGCUGAGCUCUGGCUGCCCUCAGAGCAACCAAAUGCUGAAGCAAAUGCAAAGAAACACUCCGAAGUGAUGUUUUUGGCAGAGGUUGAGGUGGAUGUGUCCUCUUAAACACCCUCUAGAUUGCCUCUAGACCUGAAUAGUGAUGAUUUCCUGUUGCACAAAGUGUGGUUCCUUCGUUUUCUAAUAGCCCAUGUGUAAGAAAGCAAGCUAGGAAGCUGUAAAGCUGAGUGUCUGAAAGGUAAACAGAACCCCAGCCAUGCUUUUCAUCUAAAGAAGCAGUUUUAGAUGUAAAGAGAUGGAUUAAAUUACAUUUGAGUGACAGAUUUAAAUUGGGAUUCCUUUCACAGCUCCACAUCCCUGCUCUAAAUAGGAGACUUGGGAUUAGGGCCAUUAAAUUACACAGUUUAUUGGAAAAAUAAAAUCUCAGGAACAGAUGAUGAUGAAAAGAGAUAGAAAAGCAAACUGAAAGAGUGUUAAAAAUUAUUAAGCUAAGGUAGCAAAUGAAAUAGAAUGGCACUAAAACUAGAUGGCACAUAAGAAAUGCUCUGAAAGUGGUAGUGCUGAGGAGGGCUGAGGGCUGUUAAAGUGCAGAGCUGUGCAGUCAGAUGGAUGAGCUUGGCGUUGCCAAGAGCUUGCAAUGGUUUUUAGCUGAAGGUCAUGCCCUGAAGUAAGGUACAAUUAAAACAGGAGAGAAACAAACUGCUUUGGAGUAUUGCAAGUGUCCAAAGCUGCGUAGCUUCUAUAACCAUACAGCACAAAGAAACACCUUGCAAAGGGGUGGGGGAAAUGAAAUGUGGCCACAAACGGAGCUGAGCCUUGGGCUGUGCUUGCUGCAGGUGGAAGGCAGUGAUGUGCUCCUUUCAGCUCCCAAGGAAGUUGCUUCCAGCCAUAGGGAUGUGCGAAUCUGCUGUGAUCAGCCCUGGCUCUGCUCUCUGCUCAGCAGUGCCAGCGCUCCUGCACCAAACCAGGCAGGUGUGUUUCUGCCUGCUGGCUCUGAACAACUCCUUUUCACCUCUCUGAGCCUCUCCAUCUGCACUGCCUGCCUCAUUCUCUCCAGUAAUUACACACAAGGCCAUGGAAGGAGAUCAAAUUCCGCCGUCUCCUUUGAAUCCUGAAAACUGUCUCUCGAUGGCACCCUUGGGUCUCUUUGAAGGAAACAAAUUAAAACGCUGCAGCCCAGACGAUUGCAGGUAGAGCCGCGCACCGGAGGACCCAGCAGUUUCCAAACAGCCCUCUUUAUGGCCAGCAAGACAUUGCCAGGAGAUUGAUUUUGCACCAGGGCUGGGGAAAUUCCACUGCCCCAGCCAUGAUCCAUCACCACCCGCCCAGAGGAGAUGAGGAAUUCUUCAUCCCAUUCUCGAGCAGCCCUGUGAUUGCAGGAGGGGCUGCAGUGCAAACUGUUUUUUCCCUGCCCGUGAAGAAAGGUUCAGAAGGUUCAGACUCAAGUGAAGGGAGCAGUGCUCAGCCCUCCCUUCUCCUCCUGUCACCAUCCAUUGGGUCAGGCUGCUCCCAGCACAUCGCUCCCCAUGCUGUGGGUAGGGCUGUGAUGGUUGGCACCCAUCCUGAAGGGCUUUUACCCCUCUGUGCUUUGGGUAUAUGGCGCAUGGAAACAACUUCUCUUACAUAAGAUCACUGCUCCGUGUCCUGUUGCCAUUGGAAGCCUGAGGGAUAUUUUGCGUAGAUGCUCAAACACAUUGUAAAUUAAGAAAACAAAAUAGAAACCAACCCCAAACA